Molecule: long non-coding RNA, 549 nt
Organism: Pezoporus occidentalis (night parrot)
Lineage: Eukaryota; Metazoa; Chordata; Aves; Psittaciformes; Psittacidae
Exons: 3
Source: RefSeq, a predicted model, not a curated record
ACCAGCUGGCUUAUUGUGUGUUCUUUUUCCCCUCUUGCCUUGGUGGUGUGGUUAGCUGGGGAGCUGGCAGCAGAGACUGCUAUGGUGAAGAGGGAGAAGUUUUUAUGUUAGUGAUGCUGAAACUGGAUGAAGAUGACCUCAAAAGUGUAUAUGGGCACACUACUACCUCUUCUGAGGAAGAACACCCAAGAAACAGCUUCUCCACGUGCUGGUGACCCCAGGACAAGGCGUUUUUAAGAUAAAUGGUAAAACUGAACUGGAAAUCCAUCUGGCCAGCUGCCUGAUCUAAUGAAUAACCCCACUUUGGCUCCUGCAAUGUAAGCAGAAAGAGUUCUCUCCCGGCCGCUUUCGUCUGUCAUGAAUCUACAAGACAGCCGACAUAAUAUCUGGGCGACAACAGCGUGCUAACAGUGCAGUGACUUCCAUUUUCUUUGCUUUCUAUUGAUUUUCACUUAAUAACUGGCGAAAUACUAAACGUCCGCCCUGAGUACCUAAUAAAUCCUGCCUGAGCUUUUUAUUGAGGAGAAUUUAAUAAAAACAACCAUUGCG